This 496-nucleotide ribosomal RNA is filed under the name uncultured bacterium. Its description in RNAcentral is "partial 16S ribosomal RNA". It matches the Rfam family "Bacterial small subunit ribosomal RNA", at positions 29 to 507 of the family's 1533-position model. The record is from RNAcentral.
AUGAACGCUGGCGGCGUGCCUAAUACAUGCAAGUCGCGCGAACAGACGAGGAGCUUGCUCCUCUGACGUUAGAGGCGGACGGGUGAGUAACACGUGGAUAACCUACCUAUAAGACUGGGAUAACUUCGGGAAACCGGAGCUAAUACCGGAUAAUAUAUUGAACCGCAUGGUUCAAUAGUGAAAGACGGUUUUGCUGUCACUUAUAGAUGGAUCCGCGCCGCAUUAGCUAGUUGGUAAGGUAACGGCUUACCAAGGCGACGAUGCGUAGCCGACCUGAGAGGGUGAUCGGCCACACUGGAACUGAGACACGGUCCAGACUCCUGCGGGAGGCAGCAGUAGGGAAUCUUCCGCAAUGGGCGAAAGCCUGACGGAGCAACGCCGCGUGAGUGAUGAAGGUCUUCGGAUCGUAAAACUCUGUUAUUAGGGAAGAACAAAUGUGUAAGUAACUAUGCACGUCUUGACGGUACCUAAUCAGAAAGCCACGGCUAACUACGUG